CGGUUGCUAUGGUGAUUUUGCAAGAUGGCGGAAACUUGAUGCUGCGCAGAAGGUGACGAAAAUUCGUCCGAGAAGAUAGCACACCUUGUUACUUACACCAUGUUGCUUUCAAAGCCGGAUAAUAGCAUUUGACAAGUAUGGCCAAACAUCAUCCAGAUUUGAUUUUCUGUCGUAAACAGCCGGGAGUCGCUAUCGGCCGGCUUUGUGAGAAAUGCGAUGGCAAGUGUGUCAUUUGCGAUUCUUAUGUGAGACCUUGCACAUUAGUCAGAAUAUGUGACGAGUGUAAUUACGGUUCCUAUCAGGGACGUUGUGUAAUAUGUGGAGGUCCCGGCGUAUCGGACGCGUAUUAUUGUAAAGAAUGCACAAUACAAGAAAAAGAUAGAGACGGCUGUCCUAAAAUAGUUAAUCUAGGAAGCUCAAAGACAGAUCUCUUCUACGAGAGAAAGAAAUAUGGAUUCAAAAGAAGAUAAUCGCAAGAUAUUGUAUUUCUCUAUGUAAUUUUUGUUGAACAUAACAUUGAGCAUCAGUUUGCUUUUUCGACGAGCGAUUCAUUCUCUUCGUCCACGGCCUCAUAUCUGACCAUUUGAAGUCUGUAACAUCCGUCCUCGUCCUGUGUAUAAUGGAAGCGCUUAUGUCCACUUGGCAAUUGCAAUUGAUGAGUUUCUAUAAGAUGUUUGGUCCAUCUAUAACUCUGCCGAUACUUAAUUGGACAUUCGUGACAACAGUACCAUCGCACCGCUAAGCUGUGUACUCUUUCUACAUGCCUAUAAUAAAUUUGACAAUUGCAAUAAACAAUUAAUAAAACAACUUCAUUAUUGAAGAUUUGUAUAAUUACCUAUCUAAGGUGUAAGCUCCUUUGCAUGUGUAAAGGCAUCCUUCAAAAUGACAAGAAAAAUUUGGACCAUUAGUAUGGACAGUCAUGUGAGAAUCAAGAUCCUGUUGCGAUUUUGCAGCAUGCGAGCAUAAUUGACAUGGAAACGUUCUCGUCGACACGUGGCGAUAUCUGACGUGUUUCGCCAAGCUCGCCGGCGAUUCACAGCUCAUAUCGCAAAGAGAACACUUGUAAUUGAACACGUGAGAUCUCAUAUGAUCGCGUAGGAUUCUCUCAGUGGGAUAAAACUUAUUACAGUGCGAACACUGGAAUCCCUGUACUGUAAAUCACUGUAUUUUAGAAAAAAUAUACAAAGCGCAAGAAA
Molecule: RNA transcript, 1196 nt
Organism: Formica exsecta
Lineage: Eukaryota; Metazoa; Arthropoda; Insecta; Hymenoptera; Formicidae
Gene: Phf5a
Gene name: PHD finger-like domain-containing protein 5A
Exons: 4
Source: RefSeq, a predicted model, not a curated record